UGGUGGCGAGUGGCGAACGGGUGAGUAACAUAUCGGAACGUACCCUAUCGUGGGGGAUAACUAUCCGAAAGGAUAGCUAAUACCGCAUACGACCUGAGGGUGAAAGCGGGGGAUCGCAAGACCUCGCGCGAAAGGAGCGGCUGAUAUCUGAUUAGGUAGUUGGUAGGGUAAAGGCCUACCAAGCCGACGAUCAGUAGCUGGUCUGAGAGGACGAUCAGCCACACUGGAACUGAGACACGGUCCAGACUCC
RNAcentral lists this ribosomal RNA (250 nucleotides) under uncultured bacterium. RNAcentral describes it as "partial 16S ribosomal RNA". It matches the Rfam family "Bacterial small subunit ribosomal RNA", at positions 86 to 339 of the family's 1533-position model. The record is from RNAcentral.